GGGGAUACAGCUCAGUGGUAGAGUGCUUGCCUAGGAUGCACGAAGCCCUGGGUUCCAUCCCCAGCACCA
This 69-nucleotide transfer RNA is filed under the name Marmota monax (woodchuck). RNAcentral's name for it is "tRNA.Pro". The stretch from base 9 to 64 matches the Rfam family "tRNA", at positions 9 to 63 of the family's 71-position model. From Rfam's summary of the family: Transfer RNA (tRNA) molecules are approximately 80 nucleotides in length. Lineage: Eukaryota; Metazoa; Chordata; Mammalia; Rodentia; Sciuridae. The record is from RNAcentral.